RNAcentral lists this long non-coding RNA (314 nucleotides) under Rosa chinensis. RNAcentral's name for it is "sRNA RchiOBHm_Chr6g0278221". The record is from RNAcentral. Lineage: Eukaryota; Viridiplantae; Streptophyta; Magnoliopsida; Rosales; Rosaceae.
UCUGUGUGUGUGUGUUUCCUACAGAUUGAUCGGCUUUGGUGGAAUCUUGAAUCUCCAAUUGCCAGCCGGGUUCAAAUCUUCUUCAUUUGCUUUUGAGAUCAACAUCGGAGCAAACCCAGACUCGAUUACAGAAUUCAUCAGUUGAGGUUGGAGCUAUUGUUGGACUUGAUCAAUAUGUCAGCUGCUUCAAAAUUCAAUAAGUUCUGGCUGAGGAUACAACAGAGGAUUAAAAGCGCAGACUCAGGAUGUUAACCGAGGAGCAAGAAAAUGAACUUCCGAACUUUACACCAUUCAUUCCAUUGAUGUCUCCCUUG